Callithrix jacchus (white-tufted-ear marmoset) is the source of this 1500-nucleotide non-coding RNA. NCBI's taxonomy places the organism in Eukaryota, Metazoa, Chordata, Mammalia, Primates, Cebidae. The record is from RefSeq and is a predicted model, not a curated record.
AGAAGAUAUACAAAAAGAAACAGUUUAUUGCUUAAAUGAUGAUGAUGAAACUGGAGUUUUAAAAGAGGAUAUUAUUCAAGUGUUCCUCUAUGGAAGUGAUAUAGCUCCUUUCUCUAAAGUGGAUGAGGAACAAAUGAAAUAUAAAUUGGAAGGCAAGUGCUUCUCUGUUUUGAGAUUUUGUAAAUCUUCUCAGGUUUAGAGAAGAUUCUUCAAGGGAAAUCAAGUUCUAAAGGUCUUUGCAGCAAGAGACGAUGAGGCAGCAGCAGUUGCACUUUCCUCCCUGAUUUAUGCUUUGGAUGAGUUAGAUGUGGUGGCCAUAGUUUGAUAUGCUUAUGACAAAAGAACUAAUCCUCAAGUCGGCAUGGCUUUUCCUCACAUCAAGCAUAAUCAUGAGUGUUUAGUGUAUGUGCAGCCACCUUUCAUGGAAGACUUGCUGCAAUAUCUGUUUUCAUCCUUGAAAAACAGUGAGAAAUAUGCUCCCACCGAGGCACAGUUGAAUGCUGUUGAUGCUUCUAUUGACUCCAUGAGCUUGGUAAAGAAAGAUGGGAAGACAGAUACUCUUGAAGACUUGUUUCCAACCACCCAAAUCUCAAAUCCUCUAUUUCACAGAUUAUUUCGGUGUCUGCUGCACAAAGCUUUACAUCCCCAGGAGCCUCUACCCCCAACUCAGCAGCAUAUUUAGAAUAUGCUGAAUCCUCCCACUGAGGUGACAGCAAAAUGUCAAAUUUCUCUCUCUAAAAUAAAGACCCUUUUCCCUCUGAUGGAAGCCAAGAAAAAGGAUCAAGUAACCAUUCAGGACAUUUUCCAAGACAACCAUACAAAUGGACCCAUCUCUAAAAAAUUAAUGACUGAGGAAGAGGGAGCCCACUUCAGCGUCUCCAGCCUGGCUGAAGACAGUGUCACCUCUGCUGGAAGUGUGAAUCCUACUGAAAACUUUCGUGUUCUAGUGAAACAGAAAAAUGCCAGCUUUGAGGAAGCGAGUGUUCAGCUCAUAAAUCACAUCAAACAGUUUUUGGAUAAUAAUGGAACACAAUAUUUUACGAAGAGCAGGGACUGCAUCAGAGCCUUCCAGAAAGAAGCCAUUAAGUUUCAAAAGAGCAGUGCUUUAACAACUUCCUGUAAGCGCUUUGAGAGAAAGUGGAAAUUAAACAAUUAAAUCAUUUAUGGGAAAUUGUUGUUCAGGAUGGAAUUACUCUGAUCACCAAAGAGGAAGCCUCUGGAAGAUCUGUCACAGCUGAGGAAGCCAAAAAGUUUCUGGCCGCCAAAGUAAAACCAAGUGAAGACACAGCAGCCGUAUUUGAAGAAGGUGCUUAUGGGAACGAUUUACUGGUUCCCAUCAGGUUUUCAAUAUGUGAGGACUCUAAGAGAGCUGCCAUCACUAUGAUUCUGGGAGUUCUAACAAAACAAGUUGGAGGCAGCCAUUCAAGGGGAACCAGAAGCUCUGGAGAAAUUCCCAGCAGGUUACCCCAAGGCAGAUCACCUAAUUCUCUGUGUAAUUAA